RNAcentral lists this ribosomal RNA (991 nucleotides) under Rhytidhysteron neorufulum. Its description in RNAcentral is "SSU rRNA". It matches the Rfam family "Eukaryotic small subunit ribosomal RNA", at positions 101 to 1100 of the family's 1831-position model. The record is from RNAcentral. Lineage: Eukaryota; Fungi; Ascomycota; Dothideomycetes; Hysteriales; Hysteriaceae.
UUAAAUCAGUUAUCGUUUAUUUGAUAGUACCUUACUACUUGGAUAACCGUGGUAAUUCUAGAGCUAAUACAUGCUAAAAACCCCGACUUCGGGAGGGGUGUAUUUAUUAGAUAAAAAACCAAUGCCCUUCGGGGCUCCUUGGUGAAUCAUAAUAACUUAACGGAUCGCAUGGCCUUGCGCCGGCGACGGUUCAUUCAAAUUUCUGCCCUAUCAACUUUCGAUUGUAGGGUAUUGGCCUACAAUGGUAUCAACGGGUAACGGGGAAUUAGGGUUCGAUUCCGGAGAGGGAGCCUGAGAAACGGCUACCACAUCCAAGGAAGGCAGCAGGCGCGCAAAUUACCCAAUCCCGACACGGGGAGGUAGUGACAAUAAAUACUGAUACAGGGCUCUUUUGGGUCUUGUAAUUGGAAUGAGUACAAUUUAAAUCCCUUAACGAGGAACAAUUGGAGGGCAAGUCUGGUGCCAGCAGCCGCGGUAAUUCCAGCUCCAAUAGCGUAUAUUAAAGUUGUUGCAGUUAAAAAGCUCGUAGUUGAACCUUGGGUCUGGCUGGCCGGUCCGCCUCACCGCGUGCACUGGUCCGGCCGGACCUUUCCUUCUGGAGAACCGCAUGCCCUUCACUGGGUGUGCCGGGGAACCAGGACUUUUACUUUGAAAAAAUUAGAGUGUUCAAAGCAGGCCUUUGCUCGAAUACAUUAGCAUGGAAUAAUAGAAUAGGACGUGCGGUCCUAUUUUGUUGGUUUCUAGGACCGCCGUAAUGAUUAAUAGGGAUAGUCGGGGGCAUCAGUAUUCAAUUGUCAGAGGUGAAAUUCUUAGAUUUAUUGAAGACUAACUACUGCGAAAGCAUUUGCCAAGGAUGUUUUCAUUAAUCAGUGAACGAAAGUUAGGGGAUCGAAGACGAUCAGAUACCGUCGUAGUCUUAACCGUAAACUAUGCCGACUAGGGAUCGGGCGAUGUUAUUCUUUUGACUCGCUCGGCACCUUACGAGAAAUCA